This 253-nucleotide ribosomal RNA is filed under the name uncultured bacterium. Its description in RNAcentral is "partial 16S ribosomal RNA". It matches the Rfam family "Bacterial small subunit ribosomal RNA", at positions 524 to 776 of the family's 1533-position model. The record is from RNAcentral.
UACAGAGGUCUCAAGCGUUGUUCGGAUUCAUUGGGCGUAAAGGGCGCGUAGGUGGCGAGGCAAGUCAGAUGUGAAAUCCCGGGGCUCAACCCCGGAACUGCAUUUGAAACUGCCUUGCUCGAGUACUGGAGAGGAGACUGGAAUUUACGGUGUAGCAGUGAAAUGCGUAGAUAUCGUAAGGAAGACCAGUGGCGAAGGCGAGUCUCUGGACAGUUACUGACACUGAGGCACGAAGGCCAGGGGAGCAAACGGG